AACGGGUAGAGCCGGGCACUCUGGCGGGACUGCCAUCGACAAGAUGGAGGAAGGUGGGGAUGACGUCAAGUCAUCAUGGCCCUUAUGUCCAGGGCGACACACGUGCUACAAUGGCCGGCACAGCGGGAAGCGAGGCAGUGAUGCCGAGCGGAUCCCUUAAAGCCGGUCUCAGUUCGGAUUGAAGUCUGCAACUCGACUUCAUGAAGCUGGAAUCGCUAGUAAUCGCAGAUCAGCCAAGCUGCGGUGAAUACGUUCCCGGGCCUU
This 264-nucleotide ribosomal RNA is filed under the name uncultured Synergistaceae bacterium. Its description in RNAcentral is "partial 16S ribosomal RNA". It matches the Rfam family "Bacterial small subunit ribosomal RNA", at positions 1120 to 1382 of the family's 1533-position model. Lineage: Bacteria; Thermotogati; Synergistota; Synergistia; Synergistales; Synergistaceae. The record is from RNAcentral.